UCCAGACUCCUACGGGAGGCAGCAGUGGGGAAUAUUGCACAAUGGGGGGAACCCUGAUGCAGCGACGCCGCGUGAGUGAAGAAGUCAUUCGUGAUGUAAAGCUCUCUCAGCAGGGAAGAAAAUGACGGUACCUGACUAAGAAGCCCCGGCUAACUACGUGCCAGCAGCCGCGGUAAUACGUAGGGGGCAAGCGUUAUCCGGAUUUACUGGGUGUAAAGGGAGCGUAGACGGCAGCGCAAGUCCGAAGUGAAAGCCCGGGGCCCAACCCCGGGACUGCUUUGGAAACUGUGAAGCUGGAGUGCGGGAGGGGCAGGCGGAAUUCCUGGUGUAGCGGUGAAAUGCGUAGAUAUCAGGAGGAACACCGGCGGCGAAGGCGGCCUGCUGGACCGUAACUGACGUUGAGGCUCGAAAGCGUGGGGAGCAAACAGGAUUAGAUACCCCCGUAC
This 446-nucleotide ribosomal RNA is filed under the name uncultured bacterium. RNAcentral's name for it is "bacterial SSU rRNA". It matches the Rfam family "Bacterial small subunit ribosomal RNA", at positions 330 to 793 of the family's 1533-position model. The record is from RNAcentral.